AUGCUGGUGCUGCUGGAGUCAGGAAAGGCAGAGCUGCUGGGAGAAGUGAGCGACUCCAGAAGGGCCAGAGUGUUCCCUUUGCAGCUGCUUUUGGACAUUUCACUACCACCACCACCUUGAGAAAGCUAUCAUGGAUGUUGCCUUGCUGGGCCUGCAUUGCUGGGUCUUCAGCCUAUUGCCCAGUUUCAUUUCUUUGUGCAUCUUUAUGGCUUUGGGGAAAGAACACAGGAUGAGAAGCCAGGUUCUCUCACUGGAGGCUUCCAAGCAGUUCAUUUCCUGUCAGGGGUAAACAUGCAGAUACGGGGUGAUCCCUGACUCUUCCAGCAUUAACAUCAUGAGAUACCUUGUAUCCCAUGGCAGUCAAUGAAUGUAGGCUUAUGGCUGUUGUUUUCACUUGAUGAUGGUACCAGUCCAUCUGCUUGGUACAGUGGCAGCAUUUAGGCAAAAGCAUUCAUCACAGAUGAGAUGUUUCUAGCCUUUAACUACCUCACAGCUUGGGCUCAGAAGAAUCCUAAGGUCUGUGAAUUUACCCUCGCACAGUGAGGGAGCUGGGAAGAGAUCACUUCUGAAUGAAGGCAGAGGAUCCUUUUCUGUCUGGAUUGCAAGAAUAAUGGUGAGGAGAGAGAAGGAGACACACAUGUGAGUCACCCUGCCUUUGCAGUCUGUCCUGGAGCCUCUUACUCUAUUGAUCACUCUCCUCUUCUAAGGUGUCACUCUAAUCGACAGCUUGUGCCCCCUUAGAAGUCAGACUUCUUACUAAAGAUGCAGACUGGCAUUUAAAGUGGGUUUUGUCACACACACCAUAAACUUCAUUCUGGGCCCCUAUCGUAACCAUGAGACUACAUCUCACACACCUCUAACUAGAGGGGCCAUAGUUGACCAAGGGCUCCAGCCACAGUGUUCUGAGGCCCACCUACAUUUGUACUGGGGCAUGUUUCCUACAGGCUGCUUCCAGCCAAUGUCCACUCCUGGGAGACAUGGGGUAUCUCUGAUGUCAGCUUUGGCUCAGGGACUCCACGUUGGCUUGGACGAAGCUCAGUAGUUUAGGAUGCUUCCCCCAUCCUUCUCUCCUUCACUCCAGAAGACCGUCCAGGAAGGAAUAAAGUGGUUGAGGAAAGUGGACAUGCUGGAAGGGCUCUAUGUAAGCCAAAAGACCCAACUAGAGAAUGCAUCCCACGAGAGGAUAUACCAGUCCCCAAACCAUUGAAAUGCACUGAUGAGAGGGACACCAGCAUCACUAAGAAGUUGUGCAGGCUGGGGAUGAUGGAAGGAGAAAUGCUUACAAACUGAGCUUGUUAGCAUCUGCAGAAGUGAUAUAGGCCAGGAGGUGGCGCUUACCUGCCAGAAGCCAGGAGGCCAUAAUUACCUCACUCUUCAAAAGAUCCUCAACCAGCCCUUCUAUCUGGAGGCUUACCGAAUGUCUGAUCCACAGGAAUGGAAUCCCAUACAGCAGAGCAUCCAAGCAGGGGCUGUACUUCAGAUGCAGCUGGUGUGGAACCAGGGGCCCUCUGGCUGUGUCAUGUACUGCACCACCCAGAGUUACCCCUCAAGGAAGGAAAGCCCACAGGUCCAUGGGGAACUGCUCCCUGCACCUGUGAGGAGAAGUAGCUCUAUAUGACACAAGG
This is a long non-coding RNA of Bos taurus (domestic cattle), 1625 nucleotides long. NCBI's taxonomy places the organism in Eukaryota, Metazoa, Chordata, Mammalia, Artiodactyla, Bovidae. The record is from Ensembl.